RNAcentral lists this ribosomal RNA (601 nucleotides) under uncultured bacterium. RNAcentral describes it as "bacterial SSU rRNA". It matches the Rfam family "Bacterial small subunit ribosomal RNA", at positions 28 to 641 of the family's 1533-position model. The record is from RNAcentral.
GAUGAACGCUGGCGGCGUGCCUAAUACAUGCAAGUCGAACGAAGAGCAUUAUAGCAAUAUGGUGCUUUUAGUGGCGAACGGGUGAGUAACGCGUUGGUGACCUGCCCCGAAGCGGGGGAUAACAGCUCGAAAGGGCUGCUAAUACCCCAUGUGGUCACGAGGGUUAGAUACCUUGUGUCUAAAGGAGUAAUCCACUUCGGGAGGGGCCUGCGUCCCAUCAGCUAGUUGGUAGGGUAAUGGCCUACCAAGGCGACGACGGGUAGGGGACCUGAGAGGGUGACCCCCCACACUGGCACUGAAACACGGGCCAGACACCUACGGGUGGCAGCAGUAGGGAAUAUUGCACAAUGGACGAAAGUCUGAUGCAGCAACGCCGCGUGCACGAUGAAGGCCUUCGGGUCGUAAAGUGCCUUUCGGGGAGAUGAGGAAGGACAGUAUCCCCGGAAUAAGGAUCGGCUAACUACGUGCCAGCAGCCGCGGUAAAACGUAGGAUCCGAGCGUUAUCCGAAUUUACUGGGCGUAAAGCGCGUGCAGGCGGUUCGGUAAGUUGGAUGUGAAAUCUCCUGGCUCAACUGGGAGAGGUCGUUCAAUACUGCCGGAC